GACGAACGCUGGCGGCGUGCCUAAUACAUGCAAGUCGAACGCUGAAGAGAGGAGCUUGCUCUUCUUGGAUGAGUUGCGAACGGGUGAGUAACGCGUAGGUAACCUGCCUUGUAGCGGGGGAUAACUAUUGGAAACGAUAGCUAAUACCGCAUAACAAUGGAUGACACAUGUCAUUUAUUUGAAAGGGGCAAUUGCUCCCCUACAAGAUGUACCUGCGUUGUAUUAGCUAGUAGGUGAGGUAAUGGCUCACCUAGGCGACGAUACAUAGCCGACCUGAGAGGGUGAUCGGCCACACUGGGACUGAGACACGGCCCAGACUCCUACGGGAGGCAGCAGUAGGGAAGCUUCGGCAAUGGGGGAAACCCUGACCGAGCAACGCCGCGUGAGGGAAGAAGGUUUUCGGAUCGUAAAGCUCGGUUGUAAGUCAAGAACGGGUGUGAGAGUGGAAAGUUCAAACUGUGACGGUAGCUUAACAGAAAGGGACGGCUAACUACGUG
RNAcentral lists this ribosomal RNA (497 nucleotides) under uncultured bacterium. RNAcentral's name for it is "partial 16S ribosomal RNA". It matches the Rfam family "Bacterial small subunit ribosomal RNA", at positions 28 to 507 of the family's 1533-position model. The record is from RNAcentral.